GUGCUCACUCCGGCAGCACAUAUACUAAAAUGGGAACACAAAAGAUUAGCAUGGCCUCUGCACAAGGAUGACGUGUACAUUCAGGAAGCGUUCCAUAUUUUU
Balaenoptera acutorostrata (minke whale) is the source of this 102-nucleotide small nuclear RNA. Lineage: Eukaryota; Metazoa; Chordata; Mammalia; Artiodactyla; Balaenopteridae. The record is from RefSeq and is a predicted model, not a curated record.